UCGAGGAUCUUCGGCAAUGGGCGCAAGCCUGACCGAGCGACGCCGCGUGCGCGAUGAAGGCCUUCGGGUUGUAAAGCGCUGUCGAGGGGGAGGAAAGCCCGCAAGGGCCUGACCUAUCCCUGGAGGAAGCACGGGCUAAGUUCGUGCCAGCAGCCGCGGUAAGACGAACCGUGCGAACGUUGUUCGGAAUCACUGGGCUUAAAGGGCGCGUAGGCGGGGGACCAAGUCCGGGGUGAAAGCUUUCGGCUUAACCGGAAAAGGGCCUUGGAGACUGGUUCCCUGGAGGGAGGUAGGGGUCCGCGGAACUGCUGGUGGAGCGGUGAAAUGCGUUGAGAUCAGCAGGAACGCCGGUGGCGAAAGCGGCGGACUGGACCUCUUCUGACGCUGAGGCGCGAAAGCCAGGGGAGCGAACGGGAUUAGAUACCCCCGUAGUCC
This 435-nucleotide ribosomal RNA is filed under the name uncultured bacterium. RNAcentral describes it as "bacterial SSU rRNA". It matches the Rfam family "Bacterial small subunit ribosomal RNA", at positions 355 to 796 of the family's 1533-position model. The record is from RNAcentral.